RNAcentral lists this ribosomal RNA (292 nucleotides) under uncultured bacterium. RNAcentral describes it as "partial 16S ribosomal RNA". The record is from RNAcentral.
GGACUACUAGGGUUUCUAAUCCUGUUUGCUCCCCACGCUUUCGCGCCUCAGCGUCAGUUACAGACCAGAGAGUCGCCUUCGCCACUGGUGUUCCUCCACAUAUCUACGCAUUUCACCGCUACACGUGGAAUUCCACUCUCCUCUUCUGCACUCAAGUCUCCCAGUUUCCAAUGACCCUCCACGGUUGAGCCGUGGGCUUUCACAUCAGACUUAAGAAACCGCCUGCGCGCGCUUUACGCCCAAUAAUUCCGGACAACGCUUGCCACCUACGUAUUACCGCGGCUGCUGGCAC